GCAAACUUGGUCAUUUAGAGGAAGUAAAAGUCGUAACAAGGUUUCCGUAGGUGAACCUGCGGAAGGAUCAUUACAGAUUCAUCAGGAGGAAAGGGAUGUUGCUGGUACCCCUCUGGGUGCAUGGUGCACUCCUGGACCUCCAUCUUUUAAAACUCUCCCUGUGCACUCUUUGUAGAUGGGAGUGAAACACCUCUCAUCUAUGUUAUUUGUCAUAACACCCUUGAUAAAGAAGGAAUAUAACAUUAAUGAUGUUUGACAACUUUCAACAACGGAUCUCUUGGCUCUCGCAUCGAUGAAGAACGCAGC
This 306-nucleotide unclassified non-coding RNA is filed under the name uncultured fungus. Its description in RNAcentral is "partial contains small subunit ribosomal RNA, internal transcribed spacer 1, and 5.8S ribosomal RNA". The stretch from base 1 to 73 matches the Rfam family "Eukaryotic small subunit ribosomal RNA", at positions 1759 to 1831 of the family's 1831-position model. Lineage: Eukaryota; Fungi. The record is from RNAcentral.